This 513-nucleotide ribosomal RNA is filed under the name Pichia pseudolambica. RNAcentral describes it as "[Candida] pseudolambica partial large subunit ribosomal RNA". It matches the Rfam family "Eukaryotic large subunit ribosomal RNA", at positions 116 to 656 of the family's 3401-position model. Lineage: Eukaryota; Fungi; Ascomycota; Pichiomycetes; Pichiales; Pichiaceae. The record is from RNAcentral.
UGGAAUCGUGUUUCGGCACGAGUUGUAAAUUGCAGGUUGGAGUCUUUGUGGAAGCGUGUGUCCAAGUCCCUUGGAACAGGGCGCCAUUGAGGGUGAGAGCCCCGUGGGAUGCGCGCGGAAGCAGCAAGGCCCUUCUGACGAGUCGAGUUGUUUGGGAAUGCAGCUCUAAGCGGGUGGUAAAUUCCAUCUAAGGCUAAAUACUGGCGAGAGACCGAUAGCGAACAAGUACUGUGAAGGAAAGAUGAAAAGCACUUUGAAAAGAGAGUGAAACAGCACGUGAAAUUGUUGAAAGGGAAGGGUAUUGGGCCCGACAUGGGGAUUGCGCAUCUCUGCUCCUUGUGGGCGGGGCGCUGUGCUUUUCCUGGGCCAGCAUCGGUUUUUGCCGCAGGAGAAGGGGUACUGGAAUGUGGCUCCUCGGAGUGUUAUAGCCAGUGCCAGAUGCUGCGUGCGGGGACCGAGGGCUGCGACAUCUGUCUCGGAUGCUGGCACAACGGCGCAAUACCGCCCGUCUUG